UCGUGGAUUAGUUUGUCUGGUUAAUCCCGUUAACGAACGAGACCUUGACGUACUAAUUAGAGCAUUACACUGUUGUGUUUUGUUCUGCUAGAGGGACCAUGUGUUACCAACACAAGGAAGCAUAAGGCAAUAACA
RNAcentral lists this ribosomal RNA (135 nucleotides) under uncultured eukaryote. Its description in RNAcentral is "partial 18S ribosomal RNA". It matches the Rfam family "Eukaryotic small subunit ribosomal RNA", at positions 1299 to 1458 of the family's 1831-position model. The record is from RNAcentral.